GUGGGGAAUAUUGGACAAUGGGGGCAACCCUGAUCCAGCAAUACCGCGUGUGUGAAGAAGGCCUUCGGGUUGUAAAGCACUUUAGGCGGGGAAGAAGGUUGCUAUUUUAAGAGAUAAGUAACUUGACGGUACCCGCAGAAUAAGCACCGGCUAACUCUGUGCCAGCAGCCGCGGUAAUACAGAGGGUGCAAGCGUUAAUCGGAUUUACUGGGCGUAAAGGGCGCGUAGGUGGUUGUUUAAGUGAGAUGUGAAAUCCCCGGGCUCAACCUGGGACGUGCAUCUUAUACUGGGCAACUGGAGUGCAAUAGAGGGUAGUGGAAUUUCCGGUGUAGCGGUGAAAUGCGUAGAUAUCGGAAGGAACACCAGUGGCGAAGGCGGCUACCUGGAUUGACACUGACACUGAGGCGCGAGAGCGUGGGGAGCAAACAGG
RNAcentral lists this ribosomal RNA (430 nucleotides) under uncultured Rickettsiaceae bacterium. Its description in RNAcentral is "bacterial SSU rRNA". It matches the Rfam family "Bacterial small subunit ribosomal RNA", at positions 354 to 776 of the family's 1533-position model. Lineage: Bacteria; Pseudomonadati; Pseudomonadota; Alphaproteobacteria; Rickettsiales; Rickettsiaceae. The record is from RNAcentral.